RNAcentral lists this ribosomal RNA (253 nucleotides) under uncultured bacterium. RNAcentral's name for it is "partial 16S ribosomal RNA". It matches the Rfam family "Bacterial small subunit ribosomal RNA", at positions 524 to 776 of the family's 1533-position model. The record is from RNAcentral.
UACGUAGGGAGCAAGCGUUGUCCGGAAUCAUUGGGCGUAAAGCGCGCGUAGGUGGCCUCAUAAGUCCGUUGUGAAAGUCAAAGGCUCAACCUUUGAAAGCCGAUGGAUACUGUGAGACUAGAGUACGGAAGAGGCGAGUGGAAUUCCUGGUGUAGCGGUGAAAUGCGCAGAUAUCAGGAGGAACACCGAUGGCGAAGGCAGCUCGCUGGGACGGUACUGACGCUGAGACGCGAAAGCGUGGGGAGCAAACAGG